UUAAAUAAAGGUGUUCUCAACUAGCCUACCUGGUUAAAUAAAGGUGUUCUCAACUAGCCUACCUGGUUAAAUAAAGGUGUUCUCAACUAGCCUACCUGGUUAAAUAAAGGUGUUCUCAACUGGCCUUCCUGGUUAAAUAAAGGUGUUCUCAACUAGCCUACCUGGUUAAAUAAAGGUGUUCUCAACUAGCCUACCUGGUUAAAUAAAGGUGUUCUCAACUAGCCUACCUGGUUAAAUAAAGGUGUUCUCAACUAGCCUACCUGGUUAAAUAAAGGUGUUCUCAACUAGCCUACCUGGUUAAAUAAAGGUGUUCUCAACUAGCCUACCUGGUUAAAUAAAGGUGUUCUCAACUAGCCUACCUGGUUAAAUAAAGGUGUUCUCAACUGGCCUUCCUGGUUAAAUAAAGGUGUUCUCAACUAGCCUACCUGG
This is a long non-coding RNA of Oncorhynchus keta (chum salmon), 429 nucleotides long. RefSeq lists it as uncharacterized. The record is from RefSeq and is a predicted model, not a curated record. NCBI's taxonomy places the organism in Eukaryota, Metazoa, Chordata, Actinopteri, Salmoniformes, Salmonidae. The transcript is spliced from 3 exons.